This 76-nucleotide transfer RNA is filed under the name Chloroflexota bacterium. Its description in RNAcentral is "Chloroflexi bacterium tRNA-His". It matches the Rfam family "tRNA". Rfam says of the family: Transfer RNA (tRNA) molecules are approximately 80 nucleotides in length. Their secondary structure includes four short double-helical elements and three loops (D, anti-codon, and T loops). Lineage: Bacteria; Bacillati; Chloroflexota. The record is from RNAcentral.
GUGGGUGUGGCCCAGCGGUUAAGGCGCCAGGUUGUGGCCCUGGAGAUCGGGAGUUCAAAUCUCCUCACCCACCCCA